This 4178-nucleotide unclassified non-coding RNA is filed under the name Hevea brasiliensis (rubber tree). Lineage: Eukaryota; Viridiplantae; Streptophyta; Magnoliopsida; Malpighiales; Euphorbiaceae. The record is from RNAcentral.
UGACAUGUGAAUCCAAACUUCUCUGGUUCUUAUACUCACCUUCAAAUUCCAAAGAACUCGUGAACUGAACUUUAAUUAUAUUUUGGUUGGCUGCGGCUUUUGUGCGUGUUCUUCUCAACAAUUAUUUCUCUCUGUGUCUGCUUCCUCAGCUUGCAAGAUAAAAGUACAAAAACCAACGAAUGGGUAUUGUCUCAGUGUUAAUAUUUCUUCUACUUUUCUUACUUCUGUGGAGCUCAGGCAUUGUUCUUGGUGAUUUCCCAACGACCCUUCAAGGACCCUUCAAGCCUGUGACUGCCCCUCUUGACAAGAAGGCGUACCGUGGAAAUGCCAUUGACUUGCCUGAUACUUACCCUCAAGUUCAAAAGAAUGUUGAGGGUUUUGAGCCUCAACAAAUCUCAGUCUCCCUCUCUUCAAAUUAUGACUCUGUCUGGAUCUCUUGGGUCACAGGGGAUUUCCAAAUUGGUGAUGACAUAACGCCAUUAGAUCCUGAAUCAGUUUCUAGUGUUGUUCAGUAUGGAAUCUCAGGGUCGCCAAUGAGUUAUCAGGCAAUUGGUUAUUCUCUUGUUUAUAAUCAACUUUAUACUUUUGAAGGGGCACAAAAUUACACUUCCGGCAUUAUACACCAUGUUCGCCUUACAGGACUGGAACCGGGAACAUUGUAUCAAUAUCAAUGCGGAGAUCCUUCUAUACCAGCAACGAGUGAUAUCUUUUAUUUUAGAACCAUGCCAGUCUCCAGUCCAACAGAUUACCCCGGCAGAAUAGCUAUGGUGGGAGACCUAGGUCUUACUUACAAUACAAGUACAACAUUCAGUCACUUGCUCAGUAAUCAUCCUGAUCUACUCGUUUUGGUUGGGGGUGUUAGUUAUGCUGACAUGUAUCUCACCAAUGGAACCGGGUCUGAUUGUUACUCUUGCUCAUUUCCUCAAACUUCCAUCCAUGAAUCAUAUCAGCUGCGUUGGGAUUGUUGGGGAAGGUUAAAUUCCAACAUUUAACAGUUUCAAACUUGUCCUGCUAGUUUCCAUCCUAUUUAGUGCUCAAAAUUCACUCACUUGGACAAAGUAGUUUUGUAUAUUUCUUUAUUCUUACAGCUAUACCGCUUCAGUUGUUUUAGCAAGAAAGGUAAAAAGCUAGAUGAAGCUCAAAUUCUCAAACUGAAAUUGUAAUUUUUGUUAUGAACCAAAAUUCUUAUUAGAACUUAAAAGACCAUUCUGCUUAGGGAUUAGUGGUUUAUACUUCAAACUGAUGUUUAGGAAUUUAAAAGGAGGUACAUGCAGAAUGACCUUAGGUGCAUGACUUCAGGUGCAUAAAAAAAACUUUAGUUAAAUUGGUUCCAUAACACUAAGACAAACAACAAGGAACAAGACAGUUUGUUGGAAACCACCUACAUAAGCUGAUGGAAAUGUAAAACAUUACAGGUGCUGGCAAUUGCAAGCAAAUAACUUCAUCCUAUUAAACGAAGCAUUCUGAUCAACAUUUAUUGUGGCUCUCAAGCUCAUAGAAUUAUGCAUAUUGUUUCCAGGUUUAUGCAGCCUCUGCUGGCUAAUGUUCCAACAAUGAUGGUUGGAGGGAAGCAUGAAAUAGAAGAACAGGCUGAAGAUGAGAUAUUUGUUGCUUACAGUUCUCGAUUUGCUUUCCCAUCUGAUGAAAGUGGGUCAUUCUCCACAUUGUACUAUUCUUUCAAUGCUGGGGGUAUACAUUUUGUGAUGCUCAGCCCGUACAUUUACUAUGUCAGAUCAUGUAAACUCGUCAACACACCCUCGUAUCAUUCUAUUUUGGAUUUCAAUUAUGUGUAUGAUCACUUCUGAACAUUUGGCAUUUCCUUUCCAUCUCGGUAUCACCUUUUUUCUAUACUCAUUGUCAUCCGUGGUAGUAGUAGAAUUUCUUUUCUGCUGGUCAUAAUUCUCUAUAUUUUCUGUCACAGCUGAUCAAUAUGAGUGGUUGGAAGACGACCUCUAUAAUGUUGACAGGAAUGUGACUCCUUGGUUGGUGGCUGCUUGGUAUGCUCCUUGGUACAGCACCUUCAAGGCCCAUUAUAGAGAAGCAGAAUGUAUGAGAGUGGAAAUGGAGGAACUGCUUUAUGAGUAUGGCGUUGACAUUGUCUUCAAUGGACAUGUACAUGCAUACGAGAGGUCAAACAGAGUAUACAACUAUUCUUUAAAUCCAUGUGGUCCAGUUUAUAUUACAUUGGGUGAUGGUGGUAGUCGGGAAGCAAUGGCAAUUGCCCAUGCUGAUGAUCCUGGUAAUUGUCCAGAGCCAUCCACUACGCCAGACGAAUAUAUUGGUGGCUUCUGUGCAUUUAAUUUUACAUCAGGCCCAGCUUCCGGUAAUUUUUGCUGGGACCAACAGCCUGAGUAUAGUGCAUACAGAGAAAGCAGCUUUGGUCAUGGGAUACUAGAGGUGAAAAAUGAGACUCAUGCUUUGUGGAGUUGGCACCGGAAUCAGGACUCUUAUCAAAUUGCUGGUGACAUCAUCUACAUUGUAAGAGAACCUGAUCGGUGUCUGCCUGUCUGAUGUCCAAAGUGAUUAAACACAUUUUUUUGAGGGUUAGCAGUAGCUAAAUGCUAGGUGUUGUUGAGAACAGCAAUCAAUGAAACCUUCAUACAGCCUUACAACUUAAGCCGCCUUAUAGACCAACAUAUCAUCGGCUUUUUAGGGGCAAACAUUCCCCUGUAGCUUUCCACGUUUUGUACUAGUAUUACUGUUAGCCUCAAGUCAUCUCCAAGAUUACAUCUCCAAGUUAUUGAAAUUUGUUAAAUAGAUCUCCAUAUCAAUUAGUUCCUCGCAACAUGCCUUCCCCUUAAGUUAAAUUCAGCAACAUUCAUACUCCUUGCCAUUAAUAAUAUAGUUACAAGAAUCAGGUUGAACAAUUGAAUUGAAUAUGUGGACCUACAAGGAUUGAACUAAAAUACAAGUGCAGCUAUCCACAACCCCUUGCCGACUAAAUGAUAGCAAGUCUCUAUACCAGCCAAUUUGAAGCUUGCCGAGAAUAGCUUCCAAAUACAAUAAAGCAGAAAAUGAAAGAUCAAAUACUAUGCCGGGAAGCUACAUGGUAGCAACAAAAGAGGACUCCAACUUCUAGCAAAACUGUAUAAGCAUUUUUUCUUCAGAUGAGGGCAAUGUGGCUCUUGCUUCAGCUGACAUGAAUCAGAACGUAAAUGAGAGAACGAGUAAAAGGGAAAUGGGAAUUAGGAUUGUUGCUGCCAUAAACCCAAUUGAAGCUCUAGAAUUGUCAGUAGGUAGGGGUGGAGUCAUCCCACUUCCAGGAUUCAGUCCAGCAGUACCACCACCAUUUGCUGGUGUAACGGUGGAUGGUGUUGGUGAAUUCGGGUUGGUUGUGGAUGUCGGUGUUGUGCUUGUGGUUGCCCCUCCGGCAGUGCUGGAAAAUUGCAUGAUUCAAGUAUCAUAAGCAACUUUCAACAAGCAAAUGCGUAACAUGGUAUACCCAACAAAAAAAGGAACAAGAAAAAAAAAUUCUCAGACAACAAUCUGCGCACAGAGUAUUUAAUUAGCCCCACCCAGAUGAUCAAAACCAGUUGUAUAUUAUGUCUGUCAGAAGAUCAUAAACACAAAAAAUUGUCCAACAUGGGCAUAACAUAAUUUAGUCAUGGGAGUACAAGUACUAUAUUAUCACACAUGCACAAAGCACAAUCUAGAAAAUCAGUAAAAUAUGCUUGUAAUCAGAAUUUAAUACCUGGCAAUACAAGAUAAAGAAAUAUAUCAGGCUGUAAGAAUAAAUUUGGCAGAAAAAAAAUAGUAGACAUUAGGUUUUAGGACCCAUGUGAAAAUGUAGCCAAGAAUGGUCCUUAAAGUAGAUUCUUUGGAGUGCAAUCUCAUAGCAUGUUCAAACAUUUUCAAUAAUCAUAUCACCUACUUUUUCCUGGGAACAAGUUCUCAUAGCAAUAUACUUUGCUCUUCAAUUCAUGGAGUAAAAAACAGCUCUUGAUAAUCAAGGAUGAAGCUGAAUGAUGAAGAGCUGUAGUUUUUAUCAAAUCUUCUACAAAAGACAACUGCAGUGCCCAAGUAUGAAUCUCCCCGCUAAUUAUCCAAAAAAUUUGAAGAUGCACGAGUGAAACUUGCUAUUGUGGUUGAAAUGAAUCUACGAACUUUGUGGAUGUGCAUUCUUCUGUUCUAAAAUGCAAAGCAUGUUUGAAGAGCAUCCAAAAAAAAAAAAAAGUAAG